GACGAACGCUGGCGGCGUGCUUAACACAUGCAAGUCGAACGGAAAGGCCCUGCUUUUGUGGGGUGCUCGAGUGGCGAACGGGUGAGUAACACGUGAGUAACCUGCCCUUGACUUUGGGAUAACUUCAGGAAACUGGGGCUAUAACCGGAUAGGAGCUCCUGCUGCAUGGGGGGGGUUGGAAAGUUUCGGCGGUUGGGGCUGGACUCGCGGCUUAUCAGCUUGUUGGUGGGGUAGUGGCUUACCAAGGCUUUGACGGGUAGCCGGCCUGAGAGGGUGACCGGCCACAUUGGGACUGCGGUACGGCCCAGACUCCUACGGUAGGCAGCAGUGGGGAAUAUUGCACAAUGGGCGGAAGCCUGAUGCAGCAACGCCGCGUGCGGGAUGACGGCCUUCGGGUUGUAAACCGCUUUCGCCGGUGACGAAGCGUGAGUGACGGUAAUGGGUAAAGAAGCACCGGCUAACUACGUG
Molecule: ribosomal RNA, 468 nt
Filed under: uncultured bacterium
Lineage: Bacteria
Description: partial 16S ribosomal RNA
Rfam family: Bacterial small subunit ribosomal RNA
Source: RNAcentral